GAUGAAGAACGUAGCGAAAUGCGAUACUUGGUGUGAAUUGCAGAAUCCCGUGAACCAUCGAGUCUUUGAACGCAAGUUGCGCCCGAAGCCACUAGGCCGAGGGCACGCCUGCCUGGGCGUCACACGCCGUUGCCCCCCCAUCUACUCCUUCGGGAUUGCGGGGGGGCGGAUGAUGGCCUCCCGUGCGCCUAGCCGCGCGGUUGGCAUAAAUACCAAGUCCUCGGCGACGCACGCCACGACAAUCGGUGGUUGCGAAACCUCGGUUGCCCGUCGUGUGCGUUCGUCGCGCAUCGAGGGCGCAAAAAAAUGCUCGGCUCCGGCUGGGCUUUCAACGCGACCCCAGGUCAGGCGGGGUUACCCGCUGAAUUUAAGCAUAUCAAUAAGCGGAGGA
RNAcentral lists this unclassified non-coding RNA (391 nucleotides) under soil metagenome. RNAcentral's name for it is "partial contains 5.8S ribosomal RNA, internal transcribed spacer 2, and large subunit ribosomal RNA". The stretch from base 1 to 122 matches the Rfam family "5.8S ribosomal RNA", at positions 35 to 154 of the family's 154-position model. The record is from RNAcentral.